This 140-nucleotide transfer-messenger RNA is filed under the name Bacteroidota bacterium. RNAcentral describes it as "Bacteroidetes bacterium (aquifer metagenome) partial transfer-messenger RNA". It matches the Rfam family "transfer-messenger RNA", at positions 231 to 374 of the family's 374-position model. Rfam says of the family: Bacterial tmRNA, also known as 10Sa RNA or SsrA, is named for its dual tRNA and mRNA-like properties. Its role is to liberate the mRNA from a stalled ribosome. To accomplish this part of the tmRNA is used as a reading frame that ends in a translation stop signal. The record is from RNAcentral. Lineage: Bacteria; Pseudomonadati; Bacteroidota.
UUUUGAAGCUCAAUUGGGAAUAAGGAUAAAUUUGGUAGUUUUUGACCGGCUUUAUCACGAAAAGUAAAUAAAAACUAAGCGUGUAGAAAGCUUUUUUAUUACUUGUUUGGACGAGGGUUCGAAUCCCUCCGACUCCACAA